This 1708-nucleotide long non-coding RNA is filed under the name Mytilus galloprovincialis (Mediterranean mussel). Lineage: Eukaryota; Metazoa; Mollusca; Bivalvia; Mytilida; Mytilidae. The record is from RNAcentral.
CCGUUAAAUUGCAACAUGUCCAGCACGAGCGGAAGUCAGUCUGAGUUUCAGGAGCCUGCUAUGGAUGUGGAUAACCAAUAUUUGAGGAAUAGAUGCCUAUUCAACCCGAAAGCAGUCGAUAGGCAAAAUACGGAAUUAUUUAUUUAAGAUGAGUAUUUAAAUAUUUCUAUUGGUAGUCAAUCGAGUGCACACUUACUCACACCCGACUAGUUUCAUUUUGAAUAUGAACAAGGUCAGUCUAAAAUUAUCGCCAGAGAUAGAGUAUAGAGACAUAUUGAUUUUUGGUAUACCAUUGGAUGUCAUGAUUUCAUUACCGAUACCAUUUUACACGCUUAUAAAAAUACAUUUUUAUACUACACGGCUGUCCGUUUGUUUACAAAACAAUUGUGCUGCCAUUACAUACCGUGAUUUGGUUUUAGAAGCUAUUGAAGAUUUUUGGUUUAGAGGACUUAUUAUUGAAUGUACUGAUGCUAAAGCAUUGGUUUGCAAAUUCACUUCCUACCUGUUCAAAACAAUGGUAAUGAAAGUUUAAUUUUAGAUAUAGGUCAAUAGGUCAUAACAAUUUACCUCUAUGGAAAACACCUUUGUGAAAUUUGAAGAUAUCAUGGUAGCUAUGCAAUCUAAUAAACAGAUUUGUAUUGUUUUAAGUUUGACAUUCAGCUUAUCACCAUAUAUAUAGGCAUAUACGAUCUGCAUUCUGAUGAUCUUGGUUUUUACUGGACAUAUUACAAGGUAUAAUAGUUGAGACUACAAAUCCUUGGAUGAAAGUUCAUAUAUAUUUUUAUUCUCGUUCCCCCUUUUUUGGAUAAAGUUCUGCUUAUUUUAUAUUUACUAAAGUUACUUGACCACUAAUUAAAUUGAGGUGGAUGAAAAGAAAUUUUCAUGUAUAUAGAUUAUGGAUUUGACACCGAUUCUGAUAUUAGCGUGUGUACAGAUAUUGCCACCUGAGUUAAGCAGGACCUUGUUGACCAAAGUGGUUGUGUCCAUAUGGUCUCCCAGUUAUACAUUAAUAUAUUUGGUUAUUUCAUUGAUACAGGCAAAGCUAUCAUAAGCAUACCAGUUGAGACUGUCAUAACUGUUUGAUACCAUAAAACAAGUAAUACUAUCUUCAGAAUAUUUAGGUUGAUUUUAUGGGAGAACUGUAACUGUUGGUCAGAUUAUAUCCAUGUCGUUUAUACAUGUAUGUCAUAGGAAUGUGGCUUAUAUUAUGAUUGAAUCAUUAGUAUUGAUGUUAAGUCAGCCUAUUCUUCUAAUGUAAUAUUGGACUUUCAGUUCAAAGUAAAGAGCAGCUUAUACUCUGCCUAGAAAAUCUUAAAUGUGUUAAUCUUAACAUUUUGUAUCCAAUUUUUCGUGUCACGACUAUGUUUAAAGUGAUACCAGUGGAACUGGAUAUAGUAGAUGUUCAGUAGAAAAUCCUAAGAAUAUUGCUCAUGGCAUGUGUCAUGAAUACGAUGUACGCCAUAGUUCUACUUGGAAAGAACUUACGGCUGUUAAAUGUAUAUUGCUUCCUUGACAGAUUUUAUGAGAGAUAAACGCAUUAAUGGUUUAUGGAUAACCAAAACGUCGUUUCCAUUGUUCAUAUAUAUAUAUAUAUAUAUAUACAUAAGGGCAUUAUGAAGCCUUAUUUACAAGAUUUUGCAUAUAUGCUAUUUUUUGUGACUUGUUUGAAGCACACUUGUUCUAAGAGGUUGAAUGGAUACCUAGGGCA